This is a long non-coding RNA of Thalassophryne amazonica, 114 nucleotides long. RefSeq lists it as uncharacterized. NCBI's taxonomy places the organism in Eukaryota, Metazoa, Chordata, Actinopteri, Batrachoidiformes, Batrachoididae. The transcript is spliced from 4 exons. The record is from RefSeq and is a predicted model, not a curated record.
CUUCUUGAAUGAUGCAGACUUGUUCCUGCACCACUGCUUCAAGAAAGUAUCUUCUAAAAACUGCCAGUAGGUUUGGGAGUUGAUUUUAAAUUUAGCUUUAACGCAAACAGGUCC